UAAUAAUAAAUAUUUUGAAGAAAAAUGUUUUCUCAGUGCUGACAGAGAGAAGCUGCAGAAAGGGGGAAGAGCAGUAACAGAAACAUGUGGCAUCCAGUGAUCUCAAUGGGAGGAGCCUGGAGGAUGCGAGCUCCAGUUUCAGAAGAGAGAAGAGAGACCCUUUUGACAAGCUGCAGCCCUUCUCCAGCCAGACAAAAUGAGUGGUGUUGGAGUCCUGCAGGCUGGCUCUGGGUCUUACCCUGGGACAGGAAAAUGUGGAUGGAAAUGGGACCUGCAGAUCCUGUGCAGAUGGGCCUGAAAGCAUAAAACUUCCUUCUACACCAGUACUUGCAACCAAAAUCUCCCUGACCACCACUAGCCACACAUCAACCUGUCUUUUCAGAACCAUUUGCAGCACUUUCUUGUUAAAAUUUGUUUUCUUACUCAAGCUGGCAGCUAAGGGUUUGGUGUUUCUGAUGCAAAU
Molecule: long non-coding RNA, 463 nt
Filed under: Anas platyrhynchos platyrhynchos (common mallard)
Lineage: Eukaryota; Metazoa; Chordata; Aves; Anseriformes; Anatidae
Description: lncRNA (ENSAPLG00000029316.1)
Source: RNAcentral